This 533-nucleotide ribosomal RNA is filed under the name uncultured archaeon. RNAcentral describes it as "bacterial SSU rRNA". It matches the Rfam family "Archaeal small subunit ribosomal RNA", at positions 58 to 590 of the family's 1478-position model. The record is from RNAcentral.
UCGUGCGAGUUCAGACUCGCGGCACCGAGCUCAGUAACACGUGGCCAAACUACCCUACAGAGACGGAUACCCUCGGGAAACUGAGGUUAACCCGUCAUACCGAUCUCAGGCUUGAAUCGCAGAGAUCACAAAACGCCCCGGCGCUGUAGGAUGUGGCUGCGGUUGAUUAGGUAGACGGUGGGGUAACGGCCCACCGUGCCCAUAAUCAGUACAGGUUGUGAGAGCAAGAACCUGGAGACGGAAUCUGAGACAAGAUUCCGGGCCCUACGGGGCGCAGCAGGCGCGAAACCUUUACACUGCACGCACGUGCGAUAAGGGGACUCCGAGUGCGAGGGCAUAUCGUCCUCGCUUUCGUGUACCGUAAGGUGGUACACCAACAAGGGCCUGGGCAAGACCGGUGCCAGCCGCCGCGGUAAUACCGGCAGCCCAAGUGAUGGCCGAUCUUAUUGGGCCUAAAGCGUCCGUAGCUGGCUGCUCAAGUCCGUCGGGAAAUCCACUCGCCCAACGAGUGGGCGUCCGACGGAAACUGCACA